UUUUUUAGGAAAGAUGAUGUGGUUGGAGCAGAAUUUCCCUUCUUAACCUGUGCUUGGGAACUAGUGGGCUCUAACAUAUUUGUAACACUUGACAAUGUAUUUGAUGAGACGUUCCUCUUCUCCAAAUAAUUUUUGUGAGAUGGAGAAAAGCUCCCAUCUUCAAUGACCGGCAGAAGUAAUGAGGACACUGAAGUAUUUCCAUUCAGUAUAGAACCAGAUAUGGAAUUAGCACUGAUUCCUUUACAAAAAUGAUCCAACAUUGAAUGGGAAGCAGUUCCACGAAGGACCCGCUCUAGAGCUCCUGUCUUUACAUCCCAAAUGUACAAAACAUCAACAACAUCAGAUGUCCCUGAAUGGCUCUGGCAAAGACAUGCAAUGUAGCCUCUUGCACCAUCCCACACAACUUUUUCAGGAUAGCUAGGGUGUGAAGGAAACAUUCUCUCUACCCUUAAAGUUUCAAGAGAAGCAAGGGAAACACAUGAGUCCUCCCCAACAGAGAGAAAGCAAUCACUCCAUGGAUGUUCAGUCCAUGCGGGGGAAAAGAUUAUCUGGCGCACUGGAGCAACAUGCUGGUGCAACACUGUUAUCAGAUUUCCAGAGUCAAGAUCCCAUAUGCGAACUGAGUUGCAGUCUAUGCUUCCAGAAACUAAAACCUGACUGAAACUCCAUCCUUUGGCAUUACCCAACAUC
This 690-nucleotide unclassified non-coding RNA is filed under the name Hevea brasiliensis (rubber tree). The record is from RNAcentral. Lineage: Eukaryota; Viridiplantae; Streptophyta; Magnoliopsida; Malpighiales; Euphorbiaceae.